AUGUACAAAGGUGCCUGUAUUUUUACAGGAGAAUAGGAAAGCUGAGUGAAAGUCUCACACGGUCACGCCGCUGUAAUGGAGGAGCUGUAUUUUAUUGAUGUCACUGGAAAAUCUGGGAAGGCAAAAUGCAGUGCUGAUACCUGAGUCAGAAGACCUGCCUUGUACA
Molecule: non-coding RNA, 166 nt
Filed under: uncultured Blautia sp.
Lineage: Bacteria; Bacillati; Bacillota; Clostridia; Lachnospirales; Lachnospiraceae
Source: RNAcentral